AUUGAACGCUGGCGGCAUGCCUUACACAUGCAAGUCGAACGGCAGCACGGGUGCUUGCACCUGGUGGCGAGUGGCGAACGGGUGAGUAAUACAUCGGAACAUGUCCUGUAGUGGGGGAUAGCCCGGCGAAAGCCGGAUUAAUACCGCAUACGAUCUACGGAUGAAAGCGGGGGAUCUUCGGGCCUCGCGCCAUAGGGUUGGCCGAUGGCUGAUUAGCUAGUUGGUGGGGUAAAGGCCUACCAAGGCGACGAUCAGUAGCUGGUCUGAGAGGACGACCAGCCACACUGGGACUGAGACACGGCCCAGACUCCUACGGGAGGCAGCAGUGGGGAAUUUUGGACAAUGGGCGAAAGCCUGAUCCAGCAAUGCCGCGUGUGUGAAGAAGGCCUUCGGGUUGUAAAGCACUUUUGUCCGGAAAGAAAUCCUUGGCCCUAAUACGGUCGGGGGAUGACGGUACCGGAAGAAUAAGCACCGGCUAACUACGUG
Molecule: ribosomal RNA, 486 nt
Filed under: uncultured bacterium
Lineage: Bacteria
Description: partial 16S ribosomal RNA
Rfam family: Bacterial small subunit ribosomal RNA
Source: RNAcentral